Chionomys nivalis (European snow vole) is the source of this 496-nucleotide non-coding RNA. Lineage: Eukaryota; Metazoa; Chordata; Mammalia; Rodentia; Cricetidae. The record is from the annotation of a RefSeq genome assembly.
GGUGAGCAAGAUGGAGUCACAGACCCAGGUCCUCGUGUGUCUGCUCCUUUGGGUGUCUGAUGCCUGUGCUGAUAUCGUAGUGUCCCAGUCUCCAUCCUCCAUGGCUGUGUCAGUAGGAGAGAAGGUCACCAUUAGAUGCAAGUCCAGUCAGAGUCUUUUUGACAGUAAAAACCAGAAGAACUACUUGAGCUGGUACCAGCAGAAGCCAGGGCAGGCUCCUAAACUGCUAAUCUACUUUGCAUCCACUCAGCACACUGGGGUCCCUGAUCGCUUCAUAGGCAGUGGAUCUGAGACAGAUUUCACUCUCACCGUCAACAGUGUCCAGACUGAAGACCUGGCAGUUUACUACUGUAUGCAAUUUUCUGAAUUUCCUCCCACAGUGUUUCAGCCUCCAACAAAAAGUUCUGAGAGUCUCAACAGCUGUCUCCACCACAGGCUGUUCUGCACCUGCACACUUCUCUCUUCUGCCUGGGAGACAGUGUGCCUGAAACUCUGA